CAAAUUAAAGCUUUAUAAAAGCAUUUUAUUUACAUUAAAAAGAUUAUUGUAAUUCAAUAUAAUUUGA
RNAcentral lists this transfer RNA (67 nucleotides) under Curculio elephas. RNAcentral's name for it is "tRNA-Val". The record is from RNAcentral. Lineage: Eukaryota; Metazoa; Arthropoda; Insecta; Coleoptera; Curculionidae.